This 3079-nucleotide long non-coding RNA is filed under the name Salvia miltiorrhiza (redroot sage). Its description in RNAcentral is "long non-coding RNA (SMIL_LNC007495)". Lineage: Eukaryota; Viridiplantae; Streptophyta; Magnoliopsida; Lamiales; Lamiaceae. The record is from RNAcentral.
GGAAUAACAAUGCGGCGUUGGCUAUUUAUCCCUCGAGGACAAUGUUGCCCUAACACAUAAUAAAACCUCUGCUUUUUAGCUUCUUGAAAUGAUAGAUCUCUUAGUAAAUCAUGCAUUUUGCAGUACUUUAUAUUCCCGACUGCCCCCAACCAACCAACUAGAAUGAGGUUUCUGUCAACUAGCUCCUUCAAAUACUCCUUGGCAAUUGUUUUCGAGCUUUUAUUGAUUAUUGGUUUGAGAAAGCCUUCAGAAACCCAUAACUUCAUGAGUUCUGCAACCCUAAUUUCCUCAUCUUCCCCAAACAUCCCCAUGUACAAAAAACAAGGCUUCAGAUAGGCAGGCAAAUGGUCAUAGCUCAGUUUCAAUACUCUCAAGCAAUAUUCAUCAUUCUCAGAAUUCACUAUUGAGCUUAUGUUUUCCUCUAUGUGCUCCCAAUAUUCCGGUGUAAGUUCGGACUUUGCCAAAAGACCCCCAAUCACAGCAAUCGACAAAGGAAGUCCCUUACACUUCCCCACAAUUUUCUUUCCGAUUUCCUCGAGAUGAAGAGGAAAACCCUCAUCCCCAAAUACAGUUUUGGAGAACAAAUUCCAGCUACAAACAUCAUCUAAAAAUCUCAUACCAAUGCUGUUAGAGUUUGUCAACUCAGUAGCCAAGUUUGAGAGCCUAGUCGUUACAAUUACUCGACUCCCAUCAUUGUAAUCGGGAAAGAAAAACCUCAUCUUGUACCACACCUCUACACUCCACAUAUCAUCCAAUAUUAUAAUAUACCUCCUACCGUAUAAAUACUUGUACAAUUUUUCUCCCAAUUCGUUCUCACUCAGAUCACUACCCAAAUUUCCAGUUACUUGGUGAAGAACUUGACUAAAUGUUUCUCUAACAUUAUAAGUUUGAGAAAUUGUAGUCCACGCACGAAUAUCAAAAUGCUCCUUAACAAGGGAAUGCUCAAAUAUAUGUCUGGCAAGAGUGGUCUUACCAAUCCCGCCNUUUUUCUUUUCUAUUCAUGAAUCAUGGGAACUAUUGUUUCUGGUAGUCAUUUAUGUACCAUCAGAUCAAUAUGUUAAAUUGGGUGUCUCCAUUGUGUGCAGGGUUUUUUUCACAAUUAUGACUGAUAAACGAGACAGGGUGGACAAGUUAUCAAAUACACUGCAAUGUUUUGUUAGCUUGUGGGAACUACAAUGGUGUUAUUGGUAAAAUAGAUUAAAAAAUAAGGACAUAAUAGGCAAACUAAAUUUGUGAUUAUUGGUGUUAUUGGUGUUAUUUAAAAGUGUGAUUGGAAUGAGAUUAUUGUAUGUUUGUUAUUAGAAUAAUAUGAUACUAUUACAUUAUUGCACUCCUUUGAGCGUCUCUAGAUUCUCCAUCAUAACAUCACUGUGCCCGCUCCGAGGAUCUGGGAGAUACAUUCCUCGAUAUCCGAACUCAACAUGCUUAAGUUGAUGCAUUUUCCAAAUUUCUACUUGUACAGUCUUACGUUCACCCACCCAAUAAGAAACAAUUAGUGUGUGUAGAUUCCAGAGCAGACUAAUUGAAUUAGGGAUUCGGAACCCCUCACAAAAUGCAGCCGAAAGAUACCUCACCAAUUGUUGGGGGAUUAUUAACUAUAACAUGAAAGGAUGGGUCCCCUUGUAAUUCCUCUUGUUCCUCUACUAUCUUUUUCAAAGACACAGCCAUUGAUUCACUGCAUCUCCACAAUACAAUUGAUUUGAGUGUUGGUAUUUCUCCAAUUUCUGAAGGGAACUUCUCCAACGACUGCAUCUGAGAGAGCUCAAGUUGCUCAAGGCGUGGCAAGCAGGAGCCCUCUAACGUCCAACAUUCCAUAUCCUUACACUCCAUUAACCACAAGUAUUUGAGGCUGGGGAAUUGGCCUUCAACUAUUUCCCAACUGCGUCUUGCAAACUGCCCACCGAGCAGUUCGAGCUUCUCAAGAAGUGGUAAUGAACCUAUCUUUUCCAGAAUUUCCUCCAAAUCGAACAUUUCGCAUUGAAGACACAGCUUCUUGAGUGAGUGCGGGAAGCUAAUACUCUGCAGAUACUCAUCACCUCCAUCAUCAAUAAUGCAUGUCAAGCUUUCCAGCUUACUCAGACAUUGAAGAUAGCUGAGGCACUUCACUCUCUCCAUUACUUUAUCCUCGUAUAUUAUCCACAGUUUCUUGAUAUUGGGAAUUCUCUUCACCAUUUCUUCAUUCAAGUUGAAAUCAAUCACUCCUUUGAGCGUCUCUAGAUUCUCCAUCAUAACAUCACUAUGCCCGCUCGGAGGAUCUGGGAGAUACCUUCCUCCAUUUCUGAACUCGACAUGCUUAAGCUGAUGCAUUUUCCAAAUUUCUACUGUUGCAGUUAUAGGUUCCCAAUAAGAAACAAUUAGUGUGUGUAGAUUCCAGAGCAGACUAAUUGAAGAAGGGAUUUGGAACCGCUUACCAGAUUUAGCCCAAAGGCACCUCAAGUUCACCGAUUGAAACACAAUUUCUUUUGAAUACCCUUCGGAAUGCUUAUAUGUCCUCAAAAACCUGAAAUCUAGCAAUUCUGGAACUGUAUCAGCAUGACAUAUGAAAGAACGAGCACGUGACGACAUAGUUUCCAUGGCAUCCCGGACUGUCAUAGCUGAAGUGCUUCUGGGAAUAACAAUGCGGCGUUGGCUAUUUAUCCCUGGAGGACAAUCUUGCCCUAACACAUAAUAAAACCUCUGCUUUUCAGCUUCUUGAAAUGAUAGAUCUCUCACUAAAUCAUGCAUUUUGCAGUACUUUAUAUUCCCAACUGCCCCCAACUUAUGAACUAGAAUGAGGUUUCUAUCGACUAGCUCCUUCAAAUACUCCUUGGCAAUUGUUUCCAAGCUUUUAUUGAUUAUUGGUUUGAGAAAGCCUUCAGAAACCCAUAGCCUCAUGAGUUGCGCCUAAUUCCUCAUCUUCCCCAAACAUCCCCAUGUACAAAAAACAAGGCUUCAGAUAGGCAGGCAAAUGGUCAUAGCUCAGUUUCAAUACUCUCAAGCAAUAUUCAUCAUUUUCCGAAUUCACUAUUGAGCUUAAGUUUUUCUCUAUGUGCUCCCAAUACUCCAAUGUAAGUUCGGACUUUGCCAAAAGACCCCCAAU